CGCGCUUACAAAAAUUCUGCCUUUCCAUUACAGUACUAUUUAUCUUUACAUUUGUGCCGCAUAAAACCCAUCUUCAUGCUCUUCAUCUUCUUUGCUUUUCUGUUCAUCAUUCUCAUGAUCGGGGCUCAGUAACAACUGUUGCUCUUUUUCUGUGUUAUUGCCACUACUAAGGGAAUUACGAUCUAUUACAAUAGCAUUUCUUUUGUAGUUCCAAACGAGCAUCGAAAUAUAGUCCUGAGGUGAAACCAGACCUUGUUCCCUCAUGCAACAUCGUAGCUCCUCGAGAGUUUUUGUAUCAUCCAAUCUUAUAUAUUCGACCAGUGCCUUCUCAUGAUUUGGUCUCCAGUUACUUGGAAAAGGAGUGUAAUCAGUCUCAGGUACAAGAGACAUCCUGGUAUAUUGAAAACUGACUCAACAAGGCCCAUCCUUAGCAAAUUGUGAUACUCGGGCGAUGAUCCUUUCUUUUCCUUCAAAGGACGACUCAAAUUCCGAGAACCAAUUUUAUACA
RNAcentral lists this unclassified non-coding RNA (508 nucleotides) under Hevea brasiliensis (rubber tree). Lineage: Eukaryota; Viridiplantae; Streptophyta; Magnoliopsida; Malpighiales; Euphorbiaceae. The record is from RNAcentral.